Molecule: ribosomal RNA, 159 nt
Filed under: Phaeoacremonium venezuelense
Lineage: Eukaryota; Fungi; Ascomycota; Sordariomycetes; Togniniales; Togniniaceae
Description: 5.8S ribosomal RNA
Rfam family: 5.8S ribosomal RNA (bases 1-130)
About the family: 5.8S ribosomal RNA (5.8S rRNA) is a component of the large subunit of the eukaryotic ribosome. It is transcribed by RNA polymerase I as part of the 45S precursor that also contains 18S and 28S rRNA.
Source: RNAcentral
UUCUGGCAUCGAUGAAGAACGCAGCGAAAUGCGAUAAGUAAUGUGAAUUGCAGAAUUCAGUGAAUCAUCGAAUCUUUGAACGCACAUUGCGCCCGCCAGUAUUCUGGCGGGCAUGCCUGUCCGAGCGUCAUUUCAACCCUCAGGCCCUGGUUGCCUGGU